AUGCAGUUCGAGCAAGGCAUGGCGACAAUCCUGCUGCUCCUACUCAGCAGCCUCACACCAUUCCUGGCGGCAGCUGAUGUAUUCUGCGACAACGUUAAGGUCCUAGCUGCCACCCUCCCUAACAAAAGAUGCUCUUCCCCAGUACACUUUGCCACCGCCACAAUCGGCCAAGCCCCCGACACCGUAUACGCGCUUGCGCUCUGCCGUGGCGAUGUCCUCAAUGACACAGCCUGCGCCGAGUGCAUCACAAACAUAUUCGGCAUAGUGCAGAAUGCUACGCCGCCAGAGGUAGAGUGCUUCAGGGCUGCCUCCUACUUUGCUGAUUGUAUCCUCAUCUACAACUCCAAAGACAUCCUCGCCCCGUCAUUCACCAAUAGCACAGAAGGAGAAAAUGGUGGCGACCCUCCUUUUGAGAGGUGGAAUGUCAGAAAUGUCACCGGCAACGUGCCUCUCAUCACCGGUCUCAUCCACGAGCUGCUGGUGGAGACUGUGGAGAAGGCAGCUAGCGCGUCGCCGAGGCGGUUCGCCACCGUGCACGCCGGACAUGUCUUCGGGGACUGUCUAGAGUGCUUGCAACAUCUCCUUGGCAUGAUCAACUCCACCAUGUCCCUCCGCAUGGGAGGACAGAUGGGUGUGAUACGGUGUUAUUUCAGGUAUGAUGCGUCUCAGUUCUAUCAAGGCCAACCAAUGAUAAGUCUGGGGCCGCUAGCUCCAACUCCGACCCAACACAAGAGGCGUAUGAACAAGCUGUGGGUAAUUCCCAUAGUUUUAAUACCUCUAGCUGCAGCAACAUUUCUCUUCUUCAUCUUGUACUAUCGUCGGAUCACAAAACAAAGAAAAGAGUUCAUGGUGUUUGACUUCCAACAGCUACUACAGGCCACAAAUAAUUUUUCGGAAGAAAACAAACUUGGACAGGGUGGAUUUGGUGUUGUAUACAAGGGCAAGCUUGCUGAUGGAUUGGAGAUAGCAGUUAAAAGACUUUCUUCACAUUCAGGACAAGGCUUCAUAGAAUUUAAAAAUGAAGUCCAGCUCAUAGCCAAACUACAACACAGUAAUUUGAUGAAAAAAAGAAGAGCUUUACUUGAUUGGUCCAAACUUGUAGCAAUAGUGGAAGGCAUAGCACAUGGACUUCUUUACCUACAUAAGCACUCCCGGUUACGUAUCAUACAUCGAGAUCUUAAACCAAGUAACAUUCUCUUGGAUAGCGAAAUGAAUCCAAAGAUUUCAGAUUUUGGUCUAGCAAAAAUUUCCAUCUCAGAUAGCAGUGAAGGAAACACUACUAGAAGAGUGGUUGGUACAUAUGGCUACAUGUCCCCUGAGUAUGCUUCGGAGGGUGUCUUCUCUAUUAAAUCGGACGUCUUCAGUUUUGGUGUUAUUAUUUUUGAGAUACUUAGCGGAAAGCAGAAUUCUGGUAGCCAGCAAUAUGGUGAUUUCAUCAAUCUUCUUGGAUAUGCAUGGCAAUUAUGGGAAGAGGGAAGGGGAAUUGACCUUCUUGAUACAUCAUUGGUUCCCAAAGAUCAAUCGCCGAAGAUUAUGAGAUACAUUAAUAUAGCAUUAUUAUGUGUACAAGAGAACGCAGCCGAUCGACCAACCAUGGCAGAUGUUAUAGCAAUGCUAUACACCGACGAUAUGAACAUCAACGAACCUAAGCAGCCGGCAUAUUUCAACAUAAGGGUCGGAAAUGAAGAGGAGUCUACUGCUACAGAGUCAUAUAGAGACGCGGCCGAUGAUACAGCGAGGCGGUACUCCACAACGGUCAUGGACGCCGUGCCGACGCUCUACUCCCUGGCACAAUGCACGCCGGACCUGUCCGCCGGAGACUGCCUGGCAUGCCUCCAGUGGCUCAUCGGCAUGGGAGAUACCACCACAUCCGUGCACCAGGGAGGACGGAUCUUCGUACUGCGAUGCAACAUCAGGUUCGAAAAUUUUAUGUUCUUCGACCAACCCAUGCGGCGGAUCGGUCUACCGUCCAUUGCACUCGCGCCUCCCAUGGAAGGACGUGGAAUGCAUCCUUGGGUAAUUGCUAUGUCUGUAGCUGGUCCGGUAGCUCUAGUUACUUUCUGCUUCAUCGUUUACUGUUGCCGCCUGAAAGGAAGGAUCAGAAAAGGUACAACAAUAUUACGAGAACAGCAUACUUACAAGUUGCAAGGUGGUGUUCAAGAACUAGUCUGGGAUAUGGAGGCAGGAUUAUCCGUGUUUUCAGUUUUCGACUUUCAUCAGAUAGUGGAAGCUACAAAUAACUUCUCUGAAGAAAAUAAACUUGGAGAAGGUGGAUUUGGACCUGUAUAUAAGGGCCAGUUUCUUAAUGGAACGGAGAUAGCAGUUAAGCGACUUGCAUCACAUUCAGGUCAAGAUCUAAAACCAAGCAACAUUCUCUUGGACAAUGAGAUGAACCCCAAAAUUUCAGAUUUUGGACUGGCAAAAAUAUUUUGCUCAAAUAAUACAGACGGCGACACUACAAGGAGAGUGGUUGGUACAUAUGGUUACAUGGCUCCAGAGUAUGCUUCUGAGGGUAUAUUCUCAAUCAAAUCUGAUGUAUUCAGCUUUGGUGUUUUAAUUCUUGAGAUCCUUAGCGGGAAAAGGAAUUAUGGUACCCGUCAUUGUGGAGCGUUCAUCAAUCUCCUCGGAUAUGCUUGGCAAUUAUGGCAAGAUGGGAGAUGGGCAAAUAUUGUUGAUGCGUCAUUGCUUCCCAUGUGUGAACCAACAGAAUUGAUGAGAUCCAUUAAUAUCGCACUACUAUGCGUACAAGAGAAUGCUGUGGAUCGACCGAACAUGUUGGAUGUUACUGCAAUGCUAAGCAGCAAGACUAUGAUCCUGCAUGUGCCUAAACACCCAGCGUAUUUUAAUCUAAUGAGCUAUGCCCGUUGUGGCUGCAAAGCAUGGCAUAGGGGGAUGAAGCACAUCAAGCAAAGCUGA
This 2916-nucleotide ribosomal RNA is filed under the name Triticum aestivum (bread wheat). Its description in RNAcentral is "partial small subunit ribosomal RNA". Lineage: Eukaryota; Viridiplantae; Streptophyta; Magnoliopsida; Poales; Poaceae. The record is from RNAcentral.